GACGAACGCUGGCGGCGUGCUUAACACAUGCAAGUCGAACGGAAAGGCCCUGCUUUUGUGGGGUGCUCGAGUGGCGAACGGGUGAGUAACACGUGAGUAACCUGCCCUCGACUUUGGGAUAACUUCAGGAAACUGGGGCUAAUACCGGAUAGGAGCUCCUGCUGCAUGGUGGGGGUUGGAAAGUUUCGGCGGUUGGGGAUGGACUCGCGGCUUAUCAGCUUGUUGGUGGGGUAGUGGCUUACCAAGGCUUUGACGGGUAGCCGGCCUGAGAGGGUGACCGGCCACAUUGGGACUGAGAUACGGCCCAGACUCCUACGGGAGGCAACAGUGGGGAAUAUUGCACAAUGGGCGGAAGCCUGAUGCAGCAACGCCGCGUGCGGGAUGACGGCCUUCGGGUUGUAAACCGCUUUCGCCUGUGACGAAGCGUGAGUGACGGUAAUGGGUAAAGAAGCACCGGCUAACUACGUG
RNAcentral lists this ribosomal RNA (468 nucleotides) under uncultured bacterium. RNAcentral's name for it is "partial 16S ribosomal RNA". It matches the Rfam family "Bacterial small subunit ribosomal RNA", at positions 28 to 507 of the family's 1533-position model. The record is from RNAcentral.